GUGGGGAAUAUUGGACAAUGGGCGAAAGCCUGAUCCAGCCAUGCCGCGUGUGUGAAGAAGGUCUUCGGAUUGUAAAGCACUUUAAGUUGGGAGGAAGGGCAGUAAGUUAAUACCUUGCUGUUUUGACGUUACCGACAGAAUAAGCACCGGCUAACUUCGUGCCAGCAGCCGCGGUAAUACGAAGGGUGCAAUCGUUAAUCGGAAUUACUGGGCGUAAAGCGCGCGUAGGUGGUUUUGUAAGUUGGAGGUGAAAUCCCCGGGCUCAACCUGGGAACUGCUUUCAAAACUGCUGAGCUAGAGUACGGUAGAGGGUGGUGGAAUUUCCUGUGUAGCGGUGAAAUGCGUAGAUAUAGGAAGGAACACCAGUGGCGAAGGCGACCACCUGGACUGAUACUGACACUGAGGUGCGAAAGCGUGGGGAGCAAACAGGAUUAGAUACCCUAGUAGUCC
Molecule: ribosomal RNA, 450 nt
Filed under: uncultured bacterium
Lineage: Bacteria
Description: partial 16S ribosomal RNA
Rfam family: Bacterial small subunit ribosomal RNA
Source: RNAcentral